CGUGAAACUUCAAACGUUUAUUCACUUUUCCCUAACCUAUAUCGAUUAAUUAAUCUACCCACUUUCAUUUUAAUUUGCGUUUAUGAAAUUGGAGCUCUAUAGUUUGCGGAAGGAAAAAUGAAAUUAGAGUUCUACUUUUUCUUUCAAUAUAUAUUGUUCUAAUCUCACGUUGCGACUACAACUUAGACGAGAUGAAGUGGAAGAGGACCUUUUGCUUCUUCCGGAGAUUGAAACCCCUCUUUUACUUUUAAUCUAGGGAUUUCAAGAAGGUCAAUCAGAAUCAAUCAAUGGUGAACGUUCAGAUGGAAGACGUAGAGACCUUUGCAUUCCAGGCUGAGAUUAAUCAGCUUCUCAGUCUUAUUAUCAACACUUUCUACAGCAAUAAGGAGAUUUUCCUGAGAGAGCACAUUAGCAACUCCUCUGAUGUACGUCUUCUUUCUCAUUUUAUUACUGAUGUUCUGAUAUUUGUUUGUUUAUCUAUAAUCACACACAUACACUCGCACAUACAGUUAUAUAUAUGACUUUAAUGCUAAUUUACAUGCACUCAUAUAUUUAAUAUGUAAAUUGUUUGAUUUUAAAUUAGAGCUUUGUUUGUAUGUUAGAUGAUUGUGAAUUAUUUAUCAGAUGAACAAAUUGUGACUGAGAUUGGGGUUAUCUAAUUAGAAAUUUGUGCUUAAAAUUAAAAAUGAAGUUUGUAAAUGUGUGUAUAUAUGUAUUUACAUAUAUAAUGUGUAUGGUGGCUACUGUGCGCUGUGAAGAAAUUGCCAAUGAGAAGUUCUCUGGUUUUUCAGGAAAUGAGUAUUGGCUGGCACUCGAGGAGCCUGUACAACUUGAAGCCUGUUAUUGGAUUUGGGAAGAAGCUCAUUUCAAUUCUUGAUACCUGUCUGUCAGAGUAAGAUUUGUUUGAUUUUUUAUAUAAACAAAAAUUAAUCGCAAGUGUGAUUGGAGGAUGAUUUUUAUGCAUUUUAGAAAUUGAUUUCCUCCUUUCCUUUGUGGUCAUCCUCAGUUAGUAUGCAUUUUGCAGAUAUGUGCUUUAUCAUUAACAACCAUGUUCUGUAGAUUGACAAUUUCAUUUAUGGCUUUAACAGUCCCAUCUUUGUCUUGUUUAAUAAUUAAAUUAACUGUAAAAAUUUGCUUGCUGCUACUUGGCCCACUACUUACACUGUAGUUUAGGGUGUAAUGUUUGCAACAAUAUUUUACUUCAGAUUAAGAAUCAUUCAACAUAAUAUAUUAGCCACUGUCCAACGGUUAGGAUAAUUUCCUUCCAAGUAAUUAGUUAUAUUUUUUUUGUUUAAAUAUGAUUUGUUUGGUAAUCCACACUUGGCCAUCCUUCUUCUUCAGCAAAGCUCUUAUUUGAAGACUAAAGCUUGGUAUGUAUCCUUGUCUAUCUAUACCAACAUUUGAAAUUAUUAUUUUCUAUUUUAUUACUGUGUACUACAUUACUCUUUUCUAUUUUUUCUUAAUGCAAUCUCGUAUGUUUUUAUUUUGGAUAUGUUCUUUAGAUGUUUUUUGUGAUUGUGUAUCUAUCAUGUUAUGUAGUGUAUGCAAGUAUUUCAAAACAUCAUAACUUCAUUAUUCAUCCUCUCUCCUUUCCUUUGUUUUAUAUAUAUAUAUAUGUAUAUAUAUAUGGAGAAUGGUAUUAGCUGUAAUGACCGCUCUAGUAAUAUGGAUUAGAAAAGGCAAUUAGCACUAAUUUUUAUUAUUUUAUUAUUAUUUGUGAAUUAAAUUUAAAUGUGGACCCCAAUAUUUAGAAAUAAAUAUUAGAGUUAUAAUUUCUCAAUUUCGGAGAUUUUAUUAAACUCUAGGGGUAUUAUCUAGCUUAUAUGUGUAAUAUGUUAUUUUUGUAAUUUUUGUUCGGCGACAACGGAAAAUGCGAUGGAUGGCUAGAUUGAUCACAUGGGUAAGUUUAGAACCUUAUUUCAUAGUGGGAAAUAUUUUAGAGAAAAUAUUUUAUCGGGAUUGAGCGGGGUUAUGGAAUUGACCAUUUUACCCCUAGCUUUAGAAUUAACCAAGUUUUAACCUUAAGGGCUUUUUAGUCAUUUCUUAUUUGGUUAAAUGAGGGUUAGGUGGCAGCCUUGGGUGAUGACACCUAUUUCAUGUUAAUAUAAUUGGGUGAAAAGGGAUUUUAUUUAGAAAAAGAAAUUAAAAAUUAGAGAAAAUUAAGAAACCAUUUCUCUUUUCUCUCUCUUGGGGUUCGGCUCUCUCAAACCAGAAGGAAAACCCAAAUUCUUCUUCUUAACUUCUGUAUUUCUAUCCAAGGAUUCAAGGGAAAAUAACUAAGGUAACCCUAGCUCCUUUCUCUUUCAAGUUCAUGAAGUUGUAUGUUGGUUUUAGAGGUGAUUUUGGGUUAUAGGGGCUGUUAGGGUUUAAGGUUUGCUUAGUUCGAAUUUUAGGGUUUGUUUAGCUUAAUUCUAGUUCUUGGUAGCUGGUUUAGAGAUUGGUUGUUAGUUUUGAGCAAUUCUAAGCUUUGAGUUCAAGCUUUAAGCUUUAAUGGCAAGUUGAUAUUUAUUGUGUUUUUCUGUGAAAUACUGGCUGGGUUUUAUUGUGUAUGCCUUGAUUAGGAGCUCUGGAGAGUUUGGUAUCAUUUGGUGGAAAAUUGAGCAAUGGAGGAGGUGUUUUGGGAAUACUGGUGCAAACCGGCAAGCCGGUUUGCAAUGCCCCAAAAACCGGCUUGCCAGUUUUGGCAGGAUUCCCGAACACUUCGUUUUCUCAAUUUUUGUCCAUUUCAGUGCCUCGGUUGGGUGUUUCCCCAUUUCCAGAGUUAGAAUAACCCCUUUAGAGUAUAGCAGAACCUAGGGUUUUGGUUUUGGUUUCACCGGGAUUAGGGUUUUAAUCACGUGACUUACCCG
Cannabis sativa is the source of this 2849-nucleotide long non-coding RNA. RefSeq lists it as uncharacterized. The transcript is spliced from 3 exons. The record is from RefSeq and is a predicted model, not a curated record. Lineage: Eukaryota; Viridiplantae; Streptophyta; Magnoliopsida; Rosales; Cannabaceae.